AGAGUAGCUCAGUGGUAGAGCAGGAGACUCAUAAGCUCUUGGUCGGUGGUUCAAAUCCGCCCUCUG
RNAcentral lists this transfer RNA (66 nucleotides) under marine eukaryotic metagenome. It matches the Rfam family "tRNA". Rfam says of the family: Transfer RNA (tRNA) molecules are approximately 80 nucleotides in length. Their secondary structure includes four short double-helical elements and three loops (D, anti-codon, and T loops). The record is from RNAcentral.